UUCAUCACCAAAGGAUGCAGUACUA
Molecule: unclassified non-coding RNA, 25 nt
Filed under: Mus musculus (house mouse)
Lineage: Eukaryota; Metazoa; Chordata; Mammalia; Rodentia; Muridae
Description: oocyte_clustered_small_RNA6093
Source: RNAcentral